UACAGAGGUCUCGAGCGUUAGGCGGAAUCACUGGGCUUAAAGCGUGUGUAGGCGGAUUUGUAAGUACCUUGUGAAAUCCCACGGCUCAACCGUGGAACUGCUCGGUAUACUGCGAGUCUUGAGCCACUUAGGGGCUACCGGAACAAAUGGUGGAGCGGUGAAAUGCGUAGAUAUCAUUUGGAACGCCAAUGGUGAAAACAGGUAGCUGGGAGUGUGCUGACGCUGAGACACGAAAGCCAGGGGAGCGAACGGG
RNAcentral lists this ribosomal RNA (253 nucleotides) under uncultured bacterium. RNAcentral describes it as "partial 16S ribosomal RNA". It matches the Rfam family "Bacterial small subunit ribosomal RNA", at positions 524 to 776 of the family's 1533-position model. The record is from RNAcentral.